This 76-nucleotide transfer RNA is filed under the name Bacillus cereus. RNAcentral's name for it is "tRNA-Glu". It matches the Rfam family "tRNA". Rfam says of the family: Transfer RNA (tRNA) molecules are approximately 80 nucleotides in length. Their secondary structure includes four short double-helical elements and three loops (D, anti-codon, and T loops). Further hydrogen bonds mediate the characteristic L-shaped molecular structure. tRNAs have two regions of fundamental functional importance: the anti-codon, which is responsible for specific mRNA codon recognition, and the 3' end, to which the tRNAs corresponding amino acid is attached (by aminoacyl-tRNA synthetases). tRNAs cope with the degeneracy of the genetic code in two manners: having more than one tRNA (with a specific anti-codon) for a particular amino acid; and 'wobble' base-pairing, i.e. permitting non-standard base-pairing at the 3rd anti-codon position. The record is from RNAcentral. Lineage: Bacteria; Bacillati; Bacillota; Bacilli; Caryophanales; Bacillaceae. RNAcentral also lists the same sequence under 1 other name.
GGCUCGUUGGUCAAGGGGUUUAAGACACCGCCCUUUCACGGCGGUAACACGGGUUCGAAUCCCGUACGGGUCACCA